GACGAACGCUGGCGGCGUGCUUAACACAUGCAAGUCGAACGGAAAGGCCCUGCUUUCGUGGGGUGCUCGAGUGGCGAACGGGUGAGUAACACGUGAGUAACCUGCCCUUGACUUUGGGAUAACUUCAGGAAACUGGGGCUAAUACCGGACAGGAGCCCCUGCUGCGUGGAGGGGGUUGGAAAUUUUCGGCGGUCGGGGUUGGACUCGCGGCUUAUCAGCUUGUUGGUGGGGUAGUGGCUUACCAAGGCUUUGACGGGUAGCCGGCCUGAGAGGGUGACCGGCCACAUUGGGACUGAGGUACGGCGCAGACUCCUACGGGAGGCAGCGGUGGGGAGUAUUGCACAAUGGGCGGAAGCCUGAGGCAGCAGCGCUGCGUGCGGGAUGACGGCCUUCGGGUUGUGAACCGCUUUCGCCUGUGACGAAGCGGGAGUGACGGUAAUGGGUAAAGAAGCACCGGCUAACUACGUG
This 468-nucleotide ribosomal RNA is filed under the name uncultured bacterium. RNAcentral's name for it is "partial 16S ribosomal RNA". It matches the Rfam family "Bacterial small subunit ribosomal RNA", at positions 28 to 507 of the family's 1533-position model. The record is from RNAcentral.